RNAcentral lists this ribosomal RNA (468 nucleotides) under uncultured bacterium. RNAcentral describes it as "partial 16S ribosomal RNA". It matches the Rfam family "Bacterial small subunit ribosomal RNA", at positions 28 to 507 of the family's 1533-position model. The record is from RNAcentral.
GAUGAACGCUGGCGGCGUGCCUAAUACAUGCAAGUCGAACGGACAGGCCCUGCUUUUGCGGCGUGCUCGAGUGGCGAACGGGUGAGUAACACGUGAGUAACCUGCCCCUGUCUUUGGGAUAACUCCAGGAAACUGGGGCUCAUACCGGAUAGGAGCUCCUGCUGCAUGGUGGGGGUUGGAAAGUUUCGGCGGUUGGGGCUGGUCUCGCGGCUUAUCAGCUUGUUGGUGGAGUAGUGGCUUACCAAGGCUUUGACGGGUAGCCGGCCUGAGAGGGGGACCGGGCACAAUGGGACUAAGAGACGGCGCAGACGGCAACGUGAGGCAACGGUCGGAAGUAUUACAGAGUAGGCGGAAGCGAGAGACAACGACGCCGGGUGCGUGAUGACGGCCUACGAGUUGUAAACAGAUGUGGCCGGUGACGAGGCGUGAGUGACGGUAAUGGAUAAAGAAGCACCGGCUAACUACGUG